RNAcentral lists this unclassified non-coding RNA (847 nucleotides) under Hevea brasiliensis (rubber tree). The record is from RNAcentral. Lineage: Eukaryota; Viridiplantae; Streptophyta; Magnoliopsida; Malpighiales; Euphorbiaceae.
CAUGUCCACAUUACAUCAGGUGUAAACAACUUUAACAUCAACUAUUUUAUACAAUCUAACUUUCAGCCAACUCACAAUAUAUUUAAUGCCCUUCCCAUGCAGAUAAUAUACAUGUUAAUUUUAAAUUGGCUGCAGAUCUAUUAAGCAUUUGAAAUCAAACAUUAGGCAAAGGAAUUAAGACUUCAUAUUGAAAGGUUGUACGGAUGCAAAACCUAUUAGCAUAAAAUGGAAAUAGAACAUGACGUCUACAAUAUAUAUAGGCAAAAAAUUAAUACAAGGGCCAAAGGAUAACAAAGCAGAAAAGUUUCUCCAAAGAGAAGAUUUCUUUGCAAACCUAUUGCAGACCUUAAUCAGGAUUCAAAAAGAUAAUUUACUAAAUUCUGCAAAAUGAAUAUUAUAUUCAACUCAACUAAUCCAAACUCCUAUCUCGUUGUGGUUAACAAUAUGGAUCCUUGUCCUCCAUUCCAAUGGGUAAAGGAUACAGGCACACAAUUAACAAUAUUCUAUCAGAAAUAGUACAGAGAAGCCAAAUUCAUCCUCCCAACACACAUCUGAAUGCAUGCAUAAAACCAGAAGAAAGUGAGGCAGUAUUUUCUUCUAGUGUCAAAGCAAUUAAUAAUACAGUUUAUUAUCAGCAUUGAAAAAAAAUAUUUUGGCUGGAAAAAGAAUUUAGGGCCCAGGCCACUUCAUAUCACCUUCUAGAGCAAGACCAGUGUCUGGAAAGAGCUCAAAGCUUGCACAGGAAGUAAGUAGAUCUAUCCGCAGAAAACUCAAAUUUUGCUAUAACGCAGUUAGAAAUGUUAACUCUACCUAAAUAGUUUGGGCUUAGCUGGUCCCAAGCCCGGAU